UUAAGUUCAGCGGGUAGUCCUACCUGAUUUGAGGCCAAAUUGUCAAUAGUUGUCUUGUUUCAGACGAUUAGAAGCAAGUCUAAAGCCCUGUCCACGGUGUAGAUAAUUAUCACACCAAUAGAUGGAGCCCAGUUUGAUACUCGCUAAUUCAUUUAAGGAGAGCAGCACACUUGCGAAGCAUUCUGCAAGCCCCCAACAUC
This 200-nucleotide unclassified non-coding RNA is filed under the name Psathyrella sp. RNAcentral describes it as "partial internal transcribed spacer 2". Lineage: Eukaryota; Fungi; Basidiomycota; Agaricomycetes; Agaricales; Psathyrellaceae. The record is from RNAcentral.